GUUAUCACACUCGUGACGCCACCAAACACUGGGAGGCUGAUUCAUUUGAGAGGAGCUGACCACAGGCCAGCAAAACCCCCAAGGUCCAAGCUCAUCACGGCAAACCAUGAGAGUUGAGGUGUUCAUGAUACUCAAACAGGCAUGCCCCUCGGAAUAGCCAAGGGGCGCAAGGUGCGUUCAAAGAUUCGAUGAUUCACUGAAUUCUGCAAUUCACAUUACUUAUCGCAUUUCGCUGCGUUCUUCAUCGAUGCGAGAGCCAAGAGAUCCGUUGCUGAAAGUUGUAUUGUAUUGCGUUAGACGCGGCAUACAUUCCAUAAGACUUUAUUACAGUGUGUGUGUAAAGACAUAGAACCACGGAAGGAAGACGGGGUCCCCCAUACCGUAGAACUACAGAGGGUGCACAGGUGUGAGUGGAUGUGUAAACAGAGCGUGCACAUGUCCCCAUUUGAGGACCAGCAACAGCCCGUUUGACAAUUCAGUAAUGAUCCUUCC
Molecule: unclassified non-coding RNA, 492 nt
Filed under: uncultured fungus
Lineage: Eukaryota; Fungi
Description: sequence contains ITS1, 5.8S rRNA gene, ITS2 and 28S rRNA gene
Source: RNAcentral